RNAcentral lists this ribosomal RNA (482 nucleotides) under uncultured bacterium. RNAcentral's name for it is "bacterial SSU rRNA". It matches the Rfam family "Bacterial small subunit ribosomal RNA", at positions 26 to 507 of the family's 1533-position model. The record is from RNAcentral.
AGGACGAACGCUGGCGGCAUGCUUAACACAUGCAAGUCGAACGAGAAUCUGCGGAUCGAGGAUUCGUCCAAGUGAAGCAGAGGACAGUGGCGGACGGGUGAGUAACGCGUGAGGAACCUGCCUUUCAGAGGGGGACAACAGUUGGAAACGACUGCUAAUACCGCAUAACGCGUAGAGGUCGCAUGGCCUUUACGCCAAAGAUUUAUCGCUGAAAGAUGGCCUCGCGUCUGAUUAGCUAGUUGGUGAGGUAACGGCCCACCAAGCCGACGAUCAGUAGCCGACCUGAGAGGGUGAUCGGCCACAUUGGGACUGAGACACGGCCCAAACUCCUACGGGAGGCAGCAGUGGGGAAUAUUGGGCAAUGGGGGAAACCCUGACCCAGCAACGCCGCGUGGAGGAAGAAGGUUUUCGGAUCGUAAACUCCUGUCCUCAGGGAAGAGCAGAAGACGGUACCUGAGGAGGAAGCCCCGGCUAACUACGUG